CAUAUGAGUCUUUGUCUUUGUAU
This 23-nucleotide small nuclear RNA is filed under the name Arabidopsis thaliana (thale cress). RNAcentral describes it as "snRNA_02849". The record is from RNAcentral. Lineage: Eukaryota; Viridiplantae; Streptophyta; Magnoliopsida; Brassicales; Brassicaceae.